GCGGAUAUAGUUUAACAUAAGACAUUAGAUUGUGAUUCUAAAAAUAGAGGUUAAACUCCUCUUAUCUGCC
Molecule: transfer RNA, 70 nt
Filed under: Chimarrichthys kishinouyei
Lineage: Eukaryota; Metazoa; Chordata; Actinopteri; Siluriformes; Sisoridae
Also listed under: 1 other name
Description: tRNA-His
Rfam family: tRNA
About the family: Transfer RNA (tRNA) molecules are approximately 80 nucleotides in length. Their secondary structure includes four short double-helical elements and three loops (D, anti-codon, and T loops). Further hydrogen bonds mediate the characteristic L-shaped molecular structure. tRNAs have two regions of fundamental functional importance: the anti-codon, which is responsible for specific mRNA codon recognition, and the 3' end, to which the tRNAs corresponding amino acid is attached (by aminoacyl-tRNA synthetases). tRNAs cope with the degeneracy of the genetic code in two manners: having more than one tRNA (with a specific anti-codon) for a particular amino acid; and 'wobble' base-pairing, i.e. permitting non-standard base-pairing at the 3rd anti-codon position.
Source: RNAcentral